AUGGUUGCCUUCAGGGAUGUUGCCAUUCAACGCUAUGAUAACUGUCAGGAGCUAACAAGUCUGGCACCACUGAUAACCCCGGGAAUAAAACUUUCUCUCUCUGAUUUCAGUCAAAUCAUCAACCAGGCAAGUGACUUUGGUGAUCCAGCCCCAGAGGGAAAGAAUGAAAAGCUGAAAAGGAUGGAGGAACUAAAAGAGAAGCAGCCUGGAGCCCCUCCGUCUCCUUGACUUUGGGCAGCGGGGGUUUCCUUCCUUCGACAGACAGCUGAGGAGCUUAUCCGCCUCCAACUUCAGUGCCCCGGAGACCUCGACAGUCGCUGGUUUAAAGUACAGUGUCCUUGCUGUCGUUUGUGCUAGACAACGGGGACUCGCCUGUGAGAGAAUAUCCCCCUAUGAUAUACCCCUCUACCACAUUGAGUACACUUCGAAUGAGGUAAUUCUAGCUACAGAUUCUGUGACGCCAAUUACUACCACCCUGUUUGUCUCCAAGGCAGAUACACCUGCAUGAACUGUCCUCAGACUGCCACGGAGGACUCUCGGCUGGUCUUUCAUGGCAACCUCACUGACGUGCACCAGUGAGGGGCCAAAGUAUCAUGUCAAACACAUACGUCCAUAAAGCCAACGCAAAAAUAAUCACUACAGAUUACAAAUACUUUUAACUUCAUCAAAGUCAACAAAAGGUGUGAGGACAGACACAAAUACAGCCAAGUAAUAUUCAGCUAAAGGCCACUGAUGCAUUUCUUAUGUGUAACUGAAUGGCUAAGAGAAAGCACAGUACUCUCAUAGUGUCAAUGUCAGACAAGAUUCAAAAUGGUAUACAUGCGUCACAUGUCAAACUGUUUGUAGGGUCAGAAUUAUACCCAAGACUUGAAUGUGAGGGUGAAUAAUAACUGGAACGGUGGGGUGAUUUAAUAUAGCCUACUUUGGUGUAGCAAGUGCUCCCAUUCACUAAAUAUUUUAUGAUAUGUUUAAUUCAUCGCAUUUUUAAUGUUCCAGCCCUUGAGGCCCUUGGAGCGGAAGGUGGCUGAUGGACAGAAAAGCAGGUGACUACAGGCUGGGAAUGUCUGGCUCUGGCUCUAACUCUGGUCAGCAUCACUGUGAACCUCAUACUGGGACAUGUUACCGACAUGUUGGUGUGGUCCGUCGAAUACAAACUGUUCACCUGAAAGAUUGGCAAUAAUGUCAAUUUAGUGGUGCGAUACUGGAUUAAACUGUCGUUUAUCCUGUCCUUCACUCCACAUCAGACUUAGGGUGACCAGACGUCACAGAACAAUGCCUCUCUUUGUUUUGGUUGUGUAAUGACAGACGUGCUUUCUUUGUGUCAUAUAUCAUUUCUCUUGGAAAAUUGUAGCCCAGUAGCAAGCCAAAUGGCGUAACAAUCUUCUAGGGAAACUAAUCUAUACUCGAAGGGUGUCAUUUUCUACACAUUUACUUCAGAAUGAUAACUUAAAGUAAAAAUGUUGUCCACUGCCAGGUUCAAUGACACAUUUUCUGCAAAUUUUGUCCAAAAACGUUUUUUUUUUACCCUUUUGCUGUGGUAUAGUAAUCAUUACCUUACACCGAAAAGUGAGAAACUGAAAUAAAAUACAGAUGACAUUUACAUGCGUUAAGGUUUCACAUGUUUUGUUAAAUGUGCAACAUGUAAAAACUGGUCACCCAAAACAAAUAUUGGGCAGCAUACCACAAGAAUAACCACUACAAUUGGCUAUAUCACUAGCUCAGUUAGCAGUGUAGCUAGCGGCUCACACUCAAUGUUUACAACACUAGGACCGAAAUGAGCCGG
This is a long non-coding RNA of Sparus aurata (gilthead seabream), 1783 nucleotides long. Lineage: Eukaryota; Metazoa; Chordata; Actinopteri; Spariformes; Sparidae. The record is from Ensembl.